RNAcentral lists this ribosomal RNA (490 nucleotides) under uncultured bacterium. RNAcentral describes it as "partial 16S ribosomal RNA". It matches the Rfam family "Bacterial small subunit ribosomal RNA", at positions 29 to 507 of the family's 1533-position model. The record is from RNAcentral.
AGUGAACGCUGGCGGCAGGCCUAACACAUGCAAGUCGAACGGCAGCACAAGAGAGCUUGCUCUCUGGGUGGCGAGUGGCGGACGGGUGAGGAAUGCAUCAGAAUCUGCCCAUUUGUGGGGGAUAACCUCGGGAAACCGGGACUAAUACCGCAUACGACCUACGGGUGAAAGCAGGGGAUCUUCGGACCUUGCGCAGAUGGAUGAGCCGAUGCCGGAUUAGCUAGUUGGAGGGGUAAAGGCCCACCAAGGCGACGAUCCGUAGCUGGUCUGAGAGGAUGAUCAGCCACACUGGGACUGAGACACGGCCCAGACUCCUACGGGAGGCAGCAGUGGGGAAUAUUGGACAAUGGGCGCAAGCCUGAUCCAGCCAUGCCGCGUGUGUGAAGAAGGCCUUCGGGUUGUAAAGCACUUUUGUUGGGAAAGAAAAGCAGCCGGUUAAUACCCGGUUGUCAUGACGGUACCCAAAGAAUAAGCACCGGCUAACUUCGUG